AUUAAUAAUCGAGAUCGUGUAUCUCACAAAUUAAU
Molecule: non-coding RNA, 35 nt
Filed under: unclassified sequences
Description: S16-Flavobacteria ribosomal protein leader
Rfam family: S16-Flavobacteria ribosomal protein leader
Source: RNAcentral